This 497-nucleotide ribosomal RNA is filed under the name uncultured bacterium. Its description in RNAcentral is "partial 16S ribosomal RNA". It matches the Rfam family "Bacterial small subunit ribosomal RNA", at positions 28 to 507 of the family's 1533-position model. The record is from RNAcentral.
GACGAACGCUGGCGGCGUGCCUAAUACAUGCAAGUAGAACGCUGAAGAGAGGAGCUUACUCUUCUUGGAUGAGUUGCGAACGGGUGAGUAGCGCGUAGGUAACCUGCCUUGUAGCGGGGGAUAACUAUUGGAAACGAUAGCUAAUACCGCAUAACAAUGGAUGACACAUGCCAUUUAUUUGAAAGGGGCAAUUGCUCCACUACAAGAUGGACCUGCGUUGUAUUAGCUAGUAGGUGAGGUAAUGGCUCACCUAGGCGACGAUACAUAGCCGACCUGAGAGGGUGAUCGGCCACACUGGGACUGAGACACGGCCCAGACUCCUACGGGAGGCAGCAGUAGGGAAUCUUCGGCAAUAGGGGCAACCCUGACCGAGCAACGCCGCGUGAGUGAAGAAGGUUUUCGGAUCGUAAAGCUCUGCUGUAAGUCAAGAACGGGUGUGAGAGUGGAAAGUUCACACUGUGACGGUAGCUUACCAGAAAGGGACGGCUAACUACGUG